Molecule: ribosomal RNA, 449 nt
Filed under: uncultured bacterium
Lineage: Bacteria
Description: partial 16S ribosomal RNA
Rfam family: Bacterial small subunit ribosomal RNA
Source: RNAcentral
GUGGGGAAUCUUCCGCAAUGGACGAAAGUCUGACGGAGCAACGCCGCGUGAGUGAAGAAGGUUUUCGGAUCGUAAAGCUCUUUCGUUAGGGACGAACGUGCUCUUUGUGAAUAAUGAGGAGUAAUGACGGUACCUAAAUAAGAAGCCACGGCUAACUACGUGCCAGCAGCCGCGGUAAUACGUAGGUGGCAAGCGUUGUCCGGAAUUAUUGGGCGUAAAGCGCGCGCAGGCGGGAUAUCAAGUCUGUCUUAAAAGUGCGAGGCUCAACCUCGUGAGGGGACAGAAACUGGUAUUCUUGAGUGUCGGAGAGGAAAGUGGAAUUCCAAGUGUAGCGGUGAAAUGCGUAGAGAUUUGGAAGAACACCAGUGGCGAAGGCGACUUUCUGGACUGUAACUGACGCUGAGGCUCGAAAGCCAGGGGAGCGAACGGGAUUAGAAACCGGGUAGUCC